RNAcentral lists this ribosomal RNA (403 nucleotides) under bacterium. RNAcentral describes it as "partial 16S ribosomal RNA". It matches the Rfam family "Bacterial small subunit ribosomal RNA", at positions 355 to 776 of the family's 1533-position model. The record is from RNAcentral.
UGGGGAAUAUUGCACAAUGGAGGGAACUCUGAUGCAGCGACGCCGCGUGAACGAAGAAGGCUUUCGAGUCGUAAAGUUCUUUUAUAUGGGAAGAUAAUGACGGUACCAUAAGAAGAAGCCCCGGCUAACUACGUGCCAGCAGCCGCGGUAAUACGUAGGGGGCUAGCGUUGUCCGGAAUCACUGGGCGUAAAGGGUUCGCAGGCGGAAAUGCAAGUCAGGUGUAAAAGGCAGUAGCUUAACUACUGUAAGCAUUUGAAACUGCAUAUCUUGAGAAGAGUAGAGGUAAGUGGAAUUUUUAGUGUAGCGGUGAAAUGCGUAGAUAUUAAAGAGAAUACCGGUGGCGAAGGCGACUUACUGGGCUCAUUCUGACGCUGAGGAACGAAAGCGUGGGUAGCAAACAGG